AGCCAACAACUCAUUUGGAAAAAAAAUGGAAAAGUUAGAGAGAGAAAUUGGAUCUAAGGAGAAACCCUCAGGACUAAGCAUUUUAUACCAAUUUUGAGUUGUUUGAUAUCUAUAAUGUAGAUCUUGUGUGUCUAUAGUGAUAUAGCUUGAUCCCAAGCUAAAAGAAGCCUAUUUCUUUGCUCCCCAAGGUGAAAAACGCGCAUCUUUCGUCAUUUCAUUGGUAAAUAUUGUUCUAACCACUAGAUCUAUUUCAUGUAUUGUUUGUACCUAGUCAGACUUGUUGGUUUACAUAUAUAUUAUGUAGUAAUUGGUAGAUCCAGAGAUUUUACCGAUUAUUUUCUGUAUGCAUAUUUGGAAACCAAGUCUAGGGACUAGAUCUAGCCGAAUCUAGCACUUUAAACGGUUAUGGAGCUCAAAACUCUAACCUAUAUGCUAGAUCAUUCUUGAUUUUAUUAUUUUAUAUGCAACUGUUAUACUGGUUAUAUUAUUUAACUUUGUUUCGGCUGAUUGGGUGUUUUUGUUAUAUCAUUAUUCAUAUUACCACGUAUUUUUCUCUUAAUUUGUGUUGCUUUUUAUUCAAUGGAGUUUGGUCGCUUUCUGUUGCGAUCUGGUUUUUUAGGUGAGUGUUGUUCUUGGUGGAGGAUCUGCAGUUUCCUUUCCGAUCUGGUUUCAUGAUUUUAUUGCUUAUCUAUGACAUGAUCAGAUUUGGGUUUAGUUUUCAGUAGAUGUCGUUGCUUGGAAUCCACUGUGGUUUAUUCUCUGCUGGUUUUGGGGGUCUAUGCUGAAGCUUAGCCAGAAGUUAUGGUUUGGUGAUUCAUCGCCGGAAUUUCACAUACUGUUCCAUCGGCUCUUACUUGGGCUGCUACCUUGCGGUUCUGAUGGGUUGUCAGAUCUGGGGGUUUGCCGAUGGUCUGUUCGCCGAUCUGGAUCUGCUCCGGCAGUUAGCCGAUUUCCUACUGAUUGGUUAAGUGUUGUAGGGGAUGUCACGUGGGGCUGACUGGCUGUCCCCCACGUGUGGGUUAACCUCUUUGGUACAUGUGAUAUUGACCCUUUUAAAACUUUGAAACCAAAUACUUUUGAAUGUUGGAGUACAUGUGCUAAUGGUCUGCAUAUGUUGCUCCUGCUGGCAUGUGCAGCUACCAUGAUGGGCUGAUAUUUGAGUUCCACUAUCCUUAAUUCAAACUGAUGGUGGAUCUUUAUGUAGCUGUUAUUUUCCUGAAUUUAGUUAAAGGAUGAAUUACAUAUUUUAUUAUAUUUUUGAAAAUAAUUAUAACAAUAGUGUACUCAUAAAAUAUUUACAUAAUUAAUACAAUUUCAUAUUUAUUUACAAUAUUAGUGCAAUUAGAAUUUCUUAAUUUAGAGAAUUAGUAUGCAAUUAUGAUUUCUUAAUUUAGGGAUUAAUUAUCCCCAUGACUUCUUCUUUCUCUCCUCAUCUAGAACAACUGCAUUACUUAGUCAUCACCCUUC
RNAcentral lists this long non-coding RNA (1467 nucleotides) under Panax ginseng (ginseng). RNAcentral's name for it is "long non-coding RNA (PGIN_LNC015678)". The record is from RNAcentral. Lineage: Eukaryota; Viridiplantae; Streptophyta; Magnoliopsida; Apiales; Araliaceae.